Molecule: ribosomal RNA, 512 nt
Filed under: uncultured bacterium
Lineage: Bacteria
Description: bacterial SSU rRNA
Rfam family: Bacterial small subunit ribosomal RNA
Source: RNAcentral
AGAGUUUGAUCAUGGCUCAGGAUGAACGCUGGCGGCGUGCUUAAUACAUGCAAGUCGAGCGAGGACCACUUGGUGGCAACACCGGGUGGCUCCUAGCGGCGAACGGGUGAGUAACACGUGGGCAACCUGCCCCCGACUCUGGGAUAAGCCCGGGAAACUGGGUCUAAUACCGGAUACGAACCUCCUCCGCAUGGUGGAGGUUGGAAAGGGUCUCCGGUCGGGGAUGGGCCCGCGGCCUAUCAGCUUGUUGGUGGGGUAACGGCCCACCAAGGCGACGACGGGUAGCCGGCCUGAGAGGGUGAACGGCCACACUGGGACUGAGACACGGCCCAGACUCCUACGGGAGGCAGCAGUAGGGAAUCUUGCGCAAUGGGCGAAAGCCUGACGCAGCGACGCCGCGUGCGGGACGAAGGCCCUCGGGUUGUAAACCGCUUUCAGCAGGGACGAAGCGAAAGUGACGGUACCUGCAGAAGAAGGUCCGGCCAACUACGUGCCAGCAGCGGCGGUAAUUC